RNAcentral lists this ribosomal RNA (581 nucleotides) under uncultured bacterium. RNAcentral describes it as "bacterial SSU rRNA". It matches the Rfam family "Bacterial small subunit ribosomal RNA", at positions 102 to 679 of the family's 1533-position model. The record is from RNAcentral.
ACGGGUGAGUAAUACGUAGGAAUCUGCCCUAGAGUGGGGGAUAACCCGAGGAAACUCGGGCUAAUACCGCAUAAUCUCUACGGAGCAAAGCUGGGGACCUUCGGGCCUAGCGCUUUAGGACGAGCCUACGUCGGAUUAGCUAGUUGGUGGGGUAAAGGCCUACCAAGGCGACGAUCCGUAGCUGGUCUGAGAGGAUGAUCAGCCACACUGGGACUGAGACACGGCCCAGACUCCUACGGGAGGCAGCAGUGGGGAAUAUUGGACAAUGGGCGAAAGCCUGAUCCAGCAAUGCCGCGUGUGUGAAGAAGGCCUUCGGGUUGUAAAGCACUUUUAGUGAGGAGGAAAGGCUUAGAGCUAAUAUCUCUAAGAGUUGACGUUACUCACAGAAAAAGCACCGGCAAACUCUGUGCCAGCAGCCGCGGUAAUACAGAGGGUGCAAGCGUUAAUCGGAAUUACUGGGCGUAAAGCGCACGUAGGCGGAUAUUUAAGUCGGAUGUGAAAGCCCCGGGCUCAACCUGGGAACGGCAUUCGAUACUGAAUAUCUAGAGUAUGGUAGAGGACAGUGGAAUUCCCGGUGUAGC